Molecule: non-coding RNA, 112 nt
Organism: Caenorhabditis elegans
Lineage: Eukaryota; Metazoa; Nematoda; Chromadorea; Rhabditida; Rhabditidae
Source: Ensembl
UGGUCAUUUACAAUCGGUGGAAAAAAAAGGUUCAUAAGCUGCCUUCGUUUACCCAUGUGACCGUGGGGGUUAUGUGGCUGUGCGAGACAAAAAGAAACAGACACAUGAGGUC